This 343-nucleotide ribosomal RNA is filed under the name Gastrotheca ernestoi. RNAcentral's name for it is "partial 16S ribosomal RNA". Lineage: Eukaryota; Metazoa; Chordata; Amphibia; Anura; Hemiphractidae. The record is from RNAcentral.
GCCAAAAUUCUAGUCCUAAUUCAUACAUAUGUAAAAUUACUUCCACAUAACUUAAAUAAAACAUUUCAACUUUUUAGUAAAGGCGAUUGAAAAAUAACUUAGAACCAUAAAAACAGUACCGCAAGGGAAAAGUGAAAUAAAAAUGAAACAGAUAUAAAGCACAAAAAAGCAGAGAUAUAACCUCGUACCUUUUGCAUCAUGAUUUAACUAGUCUAAUCAAGCAAAAAGACUUUAAAGUUUGUCCUCCCGAAACUAAGCGAGCUACUUCAAGGCAGCUUAUUGAGCCAACCCGUCUCUGUUGCAAAAGAGUGGGAAGACCUUCAAGUAGCGGUGAUAAGCCUAA